UAAUUGAAACCAAAGUAGAGGUAUAUCACUGUUAAUGAUAAUAAUAAGAAAUCUUCAAUUAAAG
Molecule: transfer RNA, 64 nt
Filed under: Cassidinae sp. ACP-2018
Lineage: Eukaryota; Metazoa; Arthropoda; Insecta; Coleoptera; Chrysomelidae
Description: tRNA-Asn
Source: RNAcentral